AUUGAACGCUGGCGGCAGGCCUAACACAUGCAAGUCGAACGAGUGGCGGACGGGUGAGUAAUGUCUGGGAAACUGCCCGAUGGAGGGGGAUAACUACUGGAAACGGUAGCUAAUACCGCAUACCAUCAGAUGAACCCAGAUGGGAUUAGCUUGUAGGUGGGGUAACGGCUCACCAAGGCGACGAUCCCUAGCUGGUCUGAGAGGAUGAUCAGCCACACUGGAACUGAGACACGGUCCAGACUCCUACGGGAGGCAGCAGUGGGGAAUAUUGCACAAUGGGCGCAAGCCUGAUGCAGCCAUGCCGCGUGUAUGAAGAAGGCCUUCGGGUUGUAAAGUACUUUCAGCGGGGAGGCUUUACCCGCAGAAGAAGCACCGGCUAACUCCGUGCCAGCAGCCGCGGUAAUUC
This 406-nucleotide ribosomal RNA is filed under the name uncultured bacterium. Its description in RNAcentral is "partial 16S ribosomal RNA". It matches the Rfam family "Bacterial small subunit ribosomal RNA", at positions 30 to 526 of the family's 1533-position model. The record is from RNAcentral.